Molecule: non-coding RNA, 161 nt
Filed under: Candidatus Omnitrophota bacterium
Lineage: Bacteria; Pseudomonadati; Candidatus Omnitrophota
Description: Candidatus Omnitrophica bacterium (hot springs metagenome) 6S RNA
Rfam family: 6S / SsrS RNA
About the family: E. coli 6S RNA was the first non coding RNA to be sequenced, but its function was unknown until recently. It consists of 184 nucleotides that fold into an extended hairpin structure with a large single-stranded internal bulge.
Source: RNAcentral
ACAUCCCUGCCCUGUGCGUGUUUUAUAAGAUGAUAUUCCUUGAGCCAACACUCAUUAAAAGGGAGCUGGGAGUUUAUCUCGGCUGCGGCCGUGAUAACAGGCUCCCACCUGGGUUACCGGGUUCAAAGGUUUAUCAUCUACACGGCAGUGGCGGGGAUAAU